CGCAGGGUGGAGCAGUCUGGUAGCUCGUCGGGCUCAUAACCCGAAGGUCAUAGGUUCAAAUCCUGUCCCUGCAACCA
This 77-nucleotide transfer RNA is filed under the name Methylobacterium sp. RNAcentral describes it as "tRNA-Met". It matches the Rfam family "tRNA". From Rfam's summary of the family: Transfer RNA (tRNA) molecules are approximately 80 nucleotides in length. Their secondary structure includes four short double-helical elements and three loops (D, anti-codon, and T loops). Lineage: Bacteria; Pseudomonadati; Pseudomonadota; Alphaproteobacteria; Hyphomicrobiales; Methylobacteriaceae. RNAcentral also lists the same sequence under 1 other name. The record is from RNAcentral.